UACGAAGGGGGCUAGCGUUGUUCGGAAUCACUGGGCGUAAAGCGCACGUAGGCGGAUUGUUAAGUCGGGGGUGAAAUCCUGAGGCUCAACCUCAGAACUGCCUUCGAUACUGGCAAUCUCGAGUCCGGAAGAGGUUGGUGGAACAGCUAGUGUAGAGGUGAAAUUCGUAGAUAUUAGGAAGAACACCAGUGGCGAAGGCGGCUCACUGGUCCGGUACUGACGCUGAGGCGCGAAAGCGUGGGGAGCAAACAGG
This 253-nucleotide ribosomal RNA is filed under the name uncultured bacterium. RNAcentral's name for it is "partial 16S ribosomal RNA". It matches the Rfam family "Bacterial small subunit ribosomal RNA", at positions 524 to 776 of the family's 1533-position model. The record is from RNAcentral.